UACGAAGGGGGCUAGCGUUGCUCGGAAUCACUGGGCGUAAAGCGCACGUAGGCGGAUUGUUAAGUCAGGGGUGAAAUCCUGGAGCUCAACUCCAGAACUGCCUUUGAUACUGGCGAUCUUGAGUCCGGGAGAGGUGAGUGGAACUCCGAGUGUAGAGGUGAAAUUCGUAGAUAUUCGGAAGAACACCAGUGGCGAAGGCGGCUCACUGGCCCGGUACUGACGCUGAUGUGCGAAAGCGUGGGGAGCAAACAG
Molecule: ribosomal RNA, 252 nt
Filed under: uncultured bacterium
Lineage: Bacteria
Description: partial 16S ribosomal RNA
Rfam family: Bacterial small subunit ribosomal RNA
Source: RNAcentral